AUUCUGAAUGCUUGUUGGUCUAAACUGUGGAAGGAUUGCAUAAAUGAAUUUACCCAGCAUAAACUCCCAGAGGUCAAAGAGAUAAUAGAUGUUGCAAAACAUCUGGAUGGUGAAGAUUUAGUAGCUAUAAAGGAUGACUACAUAGAGCAACUGGUACAGUCACAUAACAAGAAGUUGACUGAAGAGAAAUUGGAGGAACUAAUCAGAUCUUGUGAGAAAGGGGAUGACACCGAAAUGGACAAAGUGUGAAGAGUAAAAUGACUCCUCCUAACCUAAACAAAAGACUGCUAAUGGCAAAUAAUCUUGCAGAAUUUUUUCUUGAAAUUGAUCCCAAUAUGGAACAGACUAUAAAAUUAAAAUUUGGUUAGGAAGAUUUGUUAGCUCCAUAUAAAUAGUAAUAAUAAGAGUUUUAGAAGAAAAUGAAGCAAAUCUCUUUUCUGAGCUACUUAAAGCAAUCAUUUGAUAAGUAUAACUGCCCUCCCAGUCCAUCAGCACCGAUGGCUAGAUAUCUGUUUCAGCCAAAUUAUUUUAAUUUAAAUAUAUGUAAAUCAUUUUCUACAGAUUAUUCUUUGUUUAAGUAUUUUUUUUUAUAUUUAAAGAUUAUUAUCUGUAAUAAAAAGUAUUGUAAAUGUUUGAUUUUCU
Molecule: long non-coding RNA, 642 nt
Filed under: Androctonus crassicauda
Lineage: Eukaryota; Metazoa; Arthropoda; Arachnida; Scorpiones; Buthidae
Source: RNAcentral